This 5312-nucleotide long non-coding RNA is filed under the name Trifolium pratense (red clover). Its description in RNAcentral is "long non-coding RNA (TPRA_LNC002424)". The record is from RNAcentral. Lineage: Eukaryota; Viridiplantae; Streptophyta; Magnoliopsida; Fabales; Fabaceae.
UUUGGACCUUUCCAGUAACAACCUAACAGGCGAGGUUCCAUCAUCAUUUUUUCAUCUAUCUCAGCUUUCUUAUUUAGGUUUAUCAUUUAAUAAACUAGUUGGUCCAAUUCCAAAUGAAAUCACAAAACAUUCAANNNNNNNNNNNNNNNNNNNNNNNNNNNNNNNNNNNNNNNNNNNNNNNNNNNNNNNNNNNNNNNNNAACAACCACCUCACAGGGUUUAUUGGUGAGUUCACAACUUAUUCUCUGCAAUAUUUGUAUCUCUCUAAUAACAACCUACAUGGUCAUUUUCCAAAUUCAAUGAUUUGGAAAUGAUUCUUUUGAAGGAAAUACAAUGUUAUGUGGAUUCCAAGUGUCUAAAUCUUGCAAAAAGGAUGAAGAUCGGCCAUCACAUUCAACAUCUGAAGAUGAAGAGGAAUCAGGAUUUGGUUGGAAAGCAGUAGCAAUAGGAUAUGCGUGUGGGGCAAUAUUUGGGUUGCUCUUAGGACAUAAUGUAUUCUUCUUUGGAAAACCUGAAUGGCUUGCAAGACUUGUUGAACAUAUGUUUAAUAUGAGACUGAAGAGAAGAAACAACCGAUCCAGUGCAAAUAGCAGAAGAAUGAAUUAAUUUGAUGUUGGUCUUUUAAAAAAUAUAGAUACGUUUGUUUGUAAUUUCAACUUUUCUGUUUGAGUAAUGUAUUAUUUGUUUUAAAAUUAAUAUGUUGCGUUUAUUUCAAGUUGCUAUAUAAAUAAGAAAACUAGUGAUCAUUUGGUUUCAUGUUAUUUUCGUGAUUUUAUUAUGUAUAUACUUUCCGAAAUGUGCUCUGACUUUAUAUUGCUGUUAUUCAUUUGAUGUUUUUAAAUUCUGUAAUGGAUAGGAUAGGUGUUGGUGCGUGACAUGAAUGCCUUUAUCUUUUGAAGAAUGUAUGAAGUUAUUGUAUUUGAAACCAUAUCCUGAAUUUGUCAAUAAGUGUAUUGAACAUAAUAAAAGUGUUUAUCUCAUCAAGUAAGGUAUGCUAAAAUGCUCCCUUAGACAAUGCUUCAUAUAGUAUCCAACUAGCUACCAUGUUUUUAUUUUCCUUCCCUUUGUAUUUCUGCUUCAACCUUUCAAUGAAGUAUCACUCUAUAAAUUGAGAUUCAUUGUAUAGGUAAUGUGUCACUAUGAAGUACCGGCACAAACACAAACCAGGACACCAAACACGAAACCGAUACUACCGACACACAGGUACCUUUAANNNNNNNNNNNNNNNNNNNNNNNNNNNNNNNNAAAGGAAUCAUCAACACAAGCUGAAGCAACUUUUGAUAAUCUAACAGUAGCUUUCAUAUCAAAAGGAAUCAUCAACCUAGGAUUGAAAACUUCACUAAAUCUCACUACACAAACAGUCCUACCUCAUAUCCUGUUGACAUAAAAGUUCCAACAAAAUCACCCACCAACCCAUAAACACCACUUUCCUUAGAACCACCACCAGUCCACCCCUUCCUUCAUUCCAAAAUUCAGUAUCCAUGUAACCAACUAACCCUCUCUUUUCUACUGACCCUCCAUAAUCAGAAAUCCUAGCACAUAAAUUAGAGGACUUAACAUAACCAUGUACAAUAUUUGAUGAGUCUAAAUGAAGUAGAUGUGUUAAUUAGUAACUAAUACGAGAGCUUACAUCAUAAGCUCUUAUGCUUAAUAAGCUAUUUACGUUUGGAUAUGUUCGUUAAAAAGUACUUACAUAAAUUGAAGUGUUUGGAUGUCUCAUCACAUAAGCAAUUGUAAAUUUAAGAUUAACUUUGCAUAAAAAUAAAUUUAAUAUUGAUUCGAAAAGAUAAUUAAAAAAAAAAGGAUACUGUUAAAAAGAUAAGCGUAAAAAGAAAAGAAAAAACCGUAAAAAAGAUACCUUUAAGAUUCAUUCAAAAAAUAAAUUCUAAAAAAUAUGUUAAUAUUGUGCCAAAUGGAGCAUGCGGGAUUCAAAGCGGGAUCCUUUUUCAUAAGCUCCAUGUUAAGCAUAUUCAUAUUAAAAUAUGGCAUAAGUAGCUUGUGAAAUUGUGAUAAGCACUUUUGUUAAUAUAACGACUUAUAUCGGUAGAUAAGCUCACAUAAGCUUAAAACAAGUCGAUCCAAAUGGUGCCCAUGUACAAUUGAAGAAGUCCAACUUGAUCAAUAUACUAAAUAAGGUCAGUAUCGAAUUUCCUAAUUUCCUCUCUGUAAAUUUCCUACUAAGUAAGGUCCAACUUGAUCAUUACGUAGAAUUGAAGAAGUCCAAGUCUCUACUUUUGGACACAAUAUGUUGUCAUAAACACAUUCAAAUAAAGUUAGAACAUUCAAAAUUUCAACUUGAGUAUUACAUACACCGUUGAAAAAUCUUAGUCUUACUUAUCUUAAAAAUACACCAAUUGGUAAAACAUUUCUAUGGAUGCUAAUGGAUUAAUGUUAUUGUCAAUUGGUAAAACAUUUCUUUGGCCAUUCCUAAGGAAGAAUGUUAGUAAGCACACAAAUAGUUGAAUUAGGGUUAAGACGUCUUAUGUGAGGUGAGUUCGAUUUUAGACGACCAGGGAAUGAGUUCAACGAAUAUUAGUUGAACUAAAAUAGUCGAAUUAGAGUUAAUUCGUCUUAAGUGGUGCGAGUUCGAUUUUAGACGAGCAAGGAAUGAGUUUGAUGAAUAUUUUUGGAACUAAAAUAGUCAAAUUAGAGUUAAUUCAUCUUAAGUGACACGAGUUAUAUAGUUUAGAUGAGCAAGGAGUGGGUUAGAGGAAUAUUAGUUAAACUAAAAUAGUCUAAUUAGAGUUAAUUCAUCUUAAGUGGCACGAGUUCUAGUUUAGAUGAGGAAGGAAUGAGUUCGACAAAUUUUAGUUGAACUAAAAUAGUCGAAUUAUAGUUAAUUCGUCUUAAGUGGCGCAAGUUAUAUAGUUUAGAUGAGCAAAAAAUGAGUUAGAGGAAUAUUAGUUAAACUAAAAUAGUCGAAUUAGAAUUAAUUCGUCUUAAGUGGCGCGGAUUCUAGUUUAGAUGAGUAAGGAAUUCGUCUUAAAAUAAAAAUAUUUCUUAAUCAAAAUGUUAAUUUUUUUAAUAAAGUAGCUUAAUCAUUUUUUAAUAAAUAAAGUGGAUGUGUAUAUUAAAUAUUUUUUGAAGUAAUUUUUCUAAACAAGAAUUUAUAAUAUAGCAACAAGAGUUUUCUUAAGGCACAUAUUAAGGAUAUCAAUAAGUUAUUCUGAGUUUAACUCAAUUGAUAGAAAAUUUUUAUUAUAUAUGUAGAAGUCGUUCGGAUUUUAUACUCUUUACUUAUUUAUUUUAAGAGUGAAAUUUUUAACCACUAAACUACUUAAAAGAAAUAAAUAUUAAAAUUUAGAUCCAAGUAAUUGCUAACCUUUAAGGUACCCCAAGUUUUAUUUUUUAAAAAAAAUAUGAAAGCCGUACUCUUUUGAUUUAUAUACGAUCCAAGUAAUUUAGAACAUUCAAAAACAUUUCAAAUUGAGUAUUAUAUACGGUUCAAAAAUCUUGGUCUUACUUAUCUUAAAAAUACACCAUACAUUUCUACUGAUGCUAAUGAAUUAAUGUUAUUGUCAAUUAUCCUAUCACUAUAAGUAUAAUUGCAACCACAAAAACUGCUUCUAUUGGAGUGCUCCAUACGGUCGAUGAAAAGCAUCCCUUGCUACAAAACAAAAGCACGCCGAGACUCAAUUAUAUAUUAUAUAAAUAAAUUGAGGGUAAUCAAUUGGUAUAUCCAAAAUCAUCAUCAGGUAAAAAAGAAAUAAUAUCAAGUUGCUCUAAAUGGCCUCCUUUUUUAUUCUAUNNNNNNNNNNNNNNNNNNNNNNNNNNNNNNNNNNNNNNNNNNNNNNNNNNNNACUUUACUUCCUACACAUUCUCAUUAUGCAACCAUCAUGACAGCUCUGCCUUGUUACAAUUCAAGAACUCAUUUUUUGUCAACACUACACCUUCCGAUACUUUUUGGUUCUAUGAGUGUUCCUCUUUUUCUUUCAAAACAGAAACUUGGAAAAACAAUACAGAUUGUUGUGAGUGGGAUGGUGUCACGUGUGACACCGUGUCAGAUUAUGUUGUUGGUCUGGACCUUAGUUGCAACGAUCUGAAAGGUGAAUUACAUCCCAAUAGCACUAUCUUCCAGCUUAAACAUCUUCAACAACUCAACUUGGCUUUUAAUGAUUUUUCUUGGUCUCCAUUGCAUGCUGGUAUUGGUGAUUUAGUGAGUCUCACACAUCUAAAUCUAUCAAACUCAGACCUCAGUGGUAAUAUUCCCUCCACAAUCUCUCAUUUGUCAAAAUUAAUAUCACUUGAUCUUGGCAGUUACUCGAUGGAAUUGAAUCCAUUGACAUGGAAGAAACUCAUUCAUAAUGCAACUAAUUUAAGGGAGCUUUAUCUUCAUACUGUGAAUAUGUCCUCAAUCAAAGAGAGCUCUUUGUCUAUGCUAAAGAAUUUGUCAUCCACUUUGGUUUCUCUUAGUCUAGGAUCCACUGAAUUGCAAGGAAAUUUGUCAAGUGACGUCCUCUCUUUACCCAACCUUCAAAAACUAGAUUUGUCAAAUAAUCACCUUAUUGGUCAACUUCCAAAGUCCAACUGGAGCAUGGCUCUAAGGUACUUGGACCUCUCUUCCAUUCCUUUCUCAGGUGAAAUUCUUUAUUCCAUAGGUCAAUUGAAGUCUCUAACUCAUUUAUCCCUUCAAGAAUGCAAUUUAGAUGGGACGAUUCCUCUACCUUUGUGGAACUGGAACCUCACCCAACUAACAUAUUUGGACCUUUCAGAAAAUAAACUUAACGGUGAGAUCCCGCCAUCAUUGUUUUAUCAGUUACCUCAUCUUUCUUUUUUAGAUUUAUCUGAAAAUAAACUUAACGGAGAAAUCCCAAAUGUUUAUGGAAANNNNNUUUAAUAAACUAGUUGGUCCAAUUCCAAAUGAAAUCACAAAACAUUCAAAAUUGAGCUAUUUGGAUUUAGGUUCUAACAUGUUAAGUGGAACAAUUCCGCAUUGGUGUUAUAAUUUGCCUUCGUUGUUAGUGUUGCGCCUCAGAAACAACCACCUCACAGAUUUCAUUGGUGAGUUCACAACUUAUUCUCUGCAAUAUUUGUAUCUCUCUAAUAACAACCUACAUGGUCAUUUUCCAAAUUCAGUUUUUGAACUCCAGAAUCUUACCCGCUUAGAUUUGUCAUCAACAAACUUGAGUGGUGUUGUGGAUUUUCACCAAUUUUCAAUAUUUAAAUAUCUAUAUUACCUCAAUCUUUCACACAAUAGUUUUCUUUCUAUCAAUAUUGAUAGCAAAGUUGAAUCCAUAUCAUCACCUUACCUUGAAUAUUUAGAUUUAUCUUUUAGUAAUAUUAAUAGUUUUCCUAAAUUACUGGCACGACUAC